This 1667-nucleotide ribosomal RNA is filed under the name Escherichia coli. RNAcentral's name for it is "partial 23S ribosomal RNA". It matches the Rfam family "Bacterial large subunit ribosomal RNA", at positions 1292 to 2925 of the family's 2925-position model. The record is from RNAcentral. Lineage: Bacteria; Pseudomonadati; Pseudomonadota; Gammaproteobacteria; Enterobacterales; Enterobacteriaceae.
GAAUGCUGACAUAAGUAACGAUAAAGCGGGUGAAAAGCCCGCUCGCCGGAAGACCAAGGGUUCCUGUCCAACGUUAAUCGGGGCAGGGUGAGUCGACCCCUAAGGCGAGGCCGAAAGGCGUAGUCGAUGGGAAACAGGUUAAUAUUCCUGUACUUGGUGUUACUGCGAAGGGGGGACGGAGAAGGCUAUGUUGGCCGGGCGACGGUUGUCCCGGUUUAAGCGUGUAGGCUGGUUUUCCAGGCAAAUCCGGAAAACCAAGGCUGAGGCGUGAUGACGAGGCACUACGGUGCUGAAGCGACAAAUGCCCUGCUUCCAGGAAAAGCCUCUAAGCAUCAGGUAACAUCAAAUCGUACCCCAAACCGACACAGGUGGUCAGGUAGAGAAUACCAAGGCGCUUGAGAGAACUCGGGUGAAGGAACUAGGCAAAAUGGUGCCGUAACUUCGGGAGAAGGCACGCUGAUAUGUAGGUGAAGCGACUUGCUCGUGGAGCUGAAAUCAGUCGAAGAUACCAGCUGGCUGCAACUGUUUAUUAAAAACACAGCACUGUGCAAACACGAAAGUGGACGUAUACGGUGUGACGCCUGCCCGGUGCCGGAAGGUUAAUUGAUGGGGUUAGCGGUAACGCGAAGCUCUUGAUCGAAGCCCCGGUAAACGGCGGCCGUAACUAUAACGGUCCUAAGGUAGCGAAAUUCCUUGUCGGGUAAGUUCCGACCUGCACGAAUGGCGUAAUGAUGGCCAGGCUGUCUCCACCCGAGACUCAGUGAAAUUGAACUCGCUGUGAAGAUGCAGUGUACCCGCGGCAAGACGGAAAGACCCCGUGAACCUUUACUAUAGCUUGACACUGAACAUUGAGCCUUGAUGUGUAGGAUAGGUGGGAGGCUUUGAAGUGUGGACGCCAGUCUGCAUGGAGCCGACCUUGAAAUACCACCCUUUAAUGUUUGAUGUUCUAACGUUGGCCCGUAAUCCGGGUUGCGGACAGUGUCUGGUGGGUAGUUUGACUGGGGCGGUCUCCUCCUAAAGAGUAACGGAGGAGCACGAAGGUUGGCUAAUCCUGGUCGGACAUCAGGAGGUUAGUGCAAUGGCAUAAGCCAGCUUGACUGCGAGCGUGACGGCGCGAGCAGGUGCGAAAGCAGGUCAUAGUGAUCCGGUGGUUCUGAAUGGAAGGGCCAUCGCUCAACGGAUAAAAGGUACUCCGGGGAUAACAGGCUGAUACCGCCCAAGAGUUCAUAUCGACGGCGGUGUUUGGCACCUCGAUGUCGGCUCAUCACAUCCUGGGGCUGAAGUAGGUCCCAAGGGUAUGGCUGUUCGCCAUUUAAAGUGGUACGCGAGCUGGGUUUAGAACGUCGUGAGACAGUUCGGUCCCUAUCUGCCGUGGGCGCUGGAGAACUGAGGGGGGCUGCUCCUAGUACGAGAGGACCGGAGUGGACGCAUCACUGGUGUUCGGGUUGUCAUGCCAAUGGCACUGCCCGGUAGCUAAAUGCGGAAGAGAUAAGUGCUGAAAGCAUCUAAGCACGAAACUUGCCCCGAGAUGAGUUCUCCCUGAGACUUAGAGUCUCCUGAAGGAACGUUGAAGACGACGACGUUGAUAGGCCGGGUGUGUAAGCGCAGCGAUGCGUUGAGCUAACCGGUACUAAUGAACCGUGAGGCUUAACCUUACAACGCCGAAG